GCCAAGGAUGGACGGGUGAUAUCGACACCCGGACCAUGAAAAAAGUUUAAAUGUUUUUGUGCAACGUGUAUGUGGCCGUUUCUUUCUGUUUUUUGCUGUUUGCUGUUGUACGGAGGACUAAGUUAGCAUUCAAAAUUUAAAAAUCAAAUGUACAUUCCUAAGAUGCACUUUCUUACACCUCUAUGUAGCGGUACUUUUUUAGUAUUUGACCAUUAGCUCCGAUGAUGACGUUUAUGUCGAAAGCGCUCAGCUAAGUAAAUAAAAUUAUUUACACACUUUGA
This is a long non-coding RNA of Diabrotica virgifera virgifera (western corn rootworm), 281 nucleotides long. RefSeq lists it as uncharacterized. The record is from RefSeq and is a predicted model, not a curated record. Lineage: Eukaryota; Metazoa; Arthropoda; Insecta; Coleoptera; Chrysomelidae. The transcript is spliced from 2 exons.